UGGACUUACAGUUCUGCAUGUUUGGGGAUGC
This 31-nucleotide non-coding RNA is filed under the name Homo sapiens (human). Lineage: Eukaryota; Metazoa; Chordata; Mammalia; Primates; Hominidae. The record is from RNAcentral.